This 1198-nucleotide long non-coding RNA is filed under the name Capra hircus (goat). RNAcentral describes it as "lncRNA (ENSCHIG00010011252.1)". Lineage: Eukaryota; Metazoa; Chordata; Mammalia; Artiodactyla; Bovidae. The record is from RNAcentral.
AGAUCCCCUGGAGGAGGAAAUGGCAGCCCACUCCAGUAUUCUUGCCUAGAAAAUUCCAUGGGCAAAGGAGGCUGGUGGGCUACAGUCCACGCAGCCGCCAAGAAUCAGACAAAACUGAGCAACUGGGCACAUUUUGAAAUCUUUGUCAGAAGGACCCGGAUAUGUGAAUUUCUGCUUUCAACUGUGAUCUCCGGGAAGAUCAUUAACCACCAGUAAACAGCUAAGCACUGUUGCUGCUCGCCUGGGUCAUCUGACGCUGAGCUCAUGAAUGUACCCUGAGUAACCCCUGAACUGAACUGAACAGUAACGGGGCUUCCCGGGCGCACUAGUGGUAAAGAACCUGUCUGCCUUCGCAGGAGACAAGGGUGUAGGGUCAGUCCCUGUGUCGGGAAGAUCCUCUGGAGGAGGGCAUGGCAGCCCCGCCCUCAUCAGCCCUGUGCUGCCCGCCACUCACGAUCCUUGCCCCCACAGGCCGUUCUGUCGGCUGAGUGACCUGCCUGCGUCUGCACCUGGCCCCCACUCUCCUGCCUUGCCCACCCCAGGCCUGAGGCAGCCCCCGCUGAAGGCGGGGUCACUUUCCUGCCUUCCUCAGCACAAGCCCACCUUGUCUUGAAGCUUUCCCUGGUCACCCACUUCCUGGGCCUCCCCCAGCACGUGGCCCUGCUGUUUCUCUAGCCCCAGAGGAAGUUCCUGGAGAACAAAGACCCCAGCUCUCAUCUCUGCUUAGUGAUUGUUGACAACUCGCAGAUGGGACUGAAAUGUCCAAGCAGCCUUCGGAACCCCACCAUGCCGCCCUUCACCCACACGGGAGACCCUGGGAGCCCAUUGCCACCACAGAUGGGACGUGAUCCUUCACGCCUGAUAUGUUUGCUGGUGCAGGGGGACGGUUCAAAUGACUCGUCGAGGUCUCCUGGGGUUUGAGGAAGUCUGGAUUUCUGGGAAGAAUUUUCUGGAGUGAGUGUCUUGGGGACUGCCUGGAGGGGCCUGAGGGGAAGGGGUCGCCCUGUUCCUGGGGGCAGGGCAGCGCCAGGGCUGGGGCGGCCCGCUGGGCCAGCGGGAGGGGACGGGAGGGGACGGGAGGGGACGGGAGGGCAGGGCCGGACAGCGCAGGGCGGGGAUGAGGAGGGGAAUCCCGGGAGGGCCGUCGGCCAAGGCCGGUCCCGGCGGGCGGGCGGGCGGGCGGGGAGGAGCCGCGGGG